RNAcentral lists this ribosomal RNA (342 nucleotides) under Triticum aestivum (bread wheat). RNAcentral describes it as "partial small subunit ribosomal RNA". The record is from RNAcentral. Lineage: Eukaryota; Viridiplantae; Streptophyta; Magnoliopsida; Poales; Poaceae.
AGUGUGACACUUAGUGGUCAAAAAGAUGUGGUGAGUUGGACUUUGAUAGGUAGUGGUAAAUACACAGUUAAGUCUUGUUAUAGACAUUUGGUACAAAAUGGGAUCAAAUAUCCACAUAAAUUACUCUGGAAAGUUGAAAUGCCUCCUCGGGUCAAAGUGUUCAUCUGGCUUGUGCUGAGGGGGAGUAUCCUUAGUAAAGAUAAUCUUGUUAAAAGUGGGUGGCUGGGUCAUAGCAACUCCUCUUUUUAUGGACGAGGAGAAGACAUUAAUCAUCUCUUUUUCCAUUGUUCUAUUGCUAAAAUGUUGUGGAUGGUUAUGAAAUGUUUUUUUUGGUAUGACUGA